Molecule: transfer RNA, 85 nt
Filed under: Nocardioides sp. CF8
Lineage: Bacteria; Bacillati; Actinomycetota; Actinomycetes; Propionibacteriales; Nocardioidaceae
Rfam family: tRNA
About the family: Transfer RNA (tRNA) molecules are approximately 80 nucleotides in length. Their secondary structure includes four short double-helical elements and three loops (D, anti-codon, and T loops). Further hydrogen bonds mediate the characteristic L-shaped molecular structure. tRNAs have two regions of fundamental functional importance: the anti-codon, which is responsible for specific mRNA codon recognition, and the 3' end, to which the tRNAs corresponding amino acid is attached (by aminoacyl-tRNA synthetases). tRNAs cope with the degeneracy of the genetic code in two manners: having more than one tRNA (with a specific anti-codon) for a particular amino acid; and 'wobble' base-pairing, i.e. permitting non-standard base-pairing at the 3rd anti-codon position.
Source: Rfam by way of RNAcentral
GGAGGGGUGCCGGAGCGGCCUAUCGGAACCGCCUUGAAAGCGGUCGUAGCGAGAGCUACCGCGGGUUCAAAUCCCGCCUCCUCCG